UUAAGUAGACCGCCUGGGGAGUACGGCCGCAAGGUUAAAACUCAAAUGAAUUGACGGGGGCCCGCACAAGCGGUGGAGCAUGUGGUUUAAUUCGAUGCAACGCGAAGAACCUUACCUGGUCUUGACAUCCACAGAAGAAUCCAGAGAUGGAUUUGUGCCUUCGGGAACUGUGAGACAGGUGCUGCAUGGCUGUCGUCAGCUCGUGUUGUGAAAUGUUGGGUUAAGUCCCGCAACGAGCGCAACCCUUAUCCUUUGUUGCCAGCGGUCCGGCCGGGAACUCAAAGGAGACUGCCAGUGAUAAACUGGAGGAAGGUGGGGAUGACGUCAAGUCAUCAUGGCCCUUACGACCAGGGCUACACACGUGCUACAAUGGCGCAUACAAAGAGAAGCGACCUCGCGAGAGCAAGCGGACCUCAUAAAGUGCGUCGUAGUCCGGAUUGGAGUCUGCAACUCGACUCCAUGAAGUCGGAAUCGCUAGUAAUCGUGGAUCAGAAUGCCACGGUGAAUACGUUCCCGGGCCUUGUACACACCGCCCGUCACACCAUGGGAGUGGGUUGCAAAAGAAGUAGGUAGCUUAACCUUCGGGAGGGCGCUUACCACUUUGUGAUUCAUGACUGGGGUGAAGUCGUAACAAGGUAACCGUAGGGGAACCUGCGGUUGGAUCACCUCCUUA
Molecule: ribosomal RNA, 673 nt
Filed under: Salmonella enterica subsp. enterica serovar Infantis
Lineage: Bacteria; Pseudomonadati; Pseudomonadota; Gammaproteobacteria; Enterobacterales; Enterobacteriaceae
Also listed under: 1 other name
Description: bacterial SSU rRNA
Rfam family: Bacterial small subunit ribosomal RNA
Source: RNAcentral